This is a long non-coding RNA of Rosa chinensis, 925 nucleotides long. RefSeq lists it as uncharacterized. NCBI's taxonomy places the organism in Eukaryota, Viridiplantae, Streptophyta, Magnoliopsida, Rosales, Rosaceae. The record is from RefSeq and is a predicted model, not a curated record. The transcript is spliced from 5 exons.
UUGAAAAAUAAGGAGAUACAAAAACCCUCUUUUGCCAAAAAAAAAAAAAAAAAACCUCUGCUCAGAGGUUGUGGGCGGCGGAAAUCAUAUGGGUUGGUCGCCGUUCACGUUCACGAGGAGGAGAAGGAGGAGGAGGAUCGCAUUCCAGAAAAUCAAGUGCAGCAGGUCCUAGAUUGAGUCCUUGCCAGCAACAAGAGGAUCUUGUCCACGGUUAUCCUGGUGCUACUGCUAUCGUUGCUCGUCCAAAUUCACAUGGGUCUCUUGGUGAAUGGUGAUGAAUAUCCGUAUGAGGCCUGCCAAAGAUAUCUCGAUUACCUUUAUGAUGCAACACGUUUGUGUGGGAGCGAUUGUACCAGUGCUGUAGCAACUUGCAGUCUCGUAGAGGACUUUUGUGGUAUUAAGGUGUUACCUGAUGAGUUAGAGAAGAAGGAAGGCCACUGAUGCAGCAGCUGCAGAUCAUCCUUGAACAAGAUCCAUGACAAUGGCAUGCUCAUUGGGCUAUCAAUGACAGACAAUUAGAUAAAAUAACUUCACUUAUGAACGUACUGAUGUAGGCUCUUUCAUUUCAGUUACAACGCUCGUGCGGAAGAAAUUGUCCCUUAUGGUCAGGAUUGAGACCUUUGGUCUUGAGGUGUACCCUGAAAAGCUAUUGAAUGACUCGACUUGAACUAGCUAUAGAAUGACUUAACUUCCAGUUCUUGGGUUUGAUGUGAAGAUCCAUAACAGAGGCUUGCUCCUGGGAUUAUCAUUUAGAGAAACACAUUUUGUUUCCCAUGUGCUACUCUGAAGACGACGUUGAAAUGAUUUGACUUCAUCAAUUCAUGCCCUGUUUUAGGAAAGCUGUUUUUAGUUUGCAACUCUAGAUACUGUUUGUAAUUUGUUCUAAUUUGGUGAUUUUCACUAAAUAUAAGCUUCAAAAUGCAUU